RNAcentral lists this ribosomal RNA (1167 nucleotides) under uncultured organism. Its description in RNAcentral is "bacterial SSU rRNA". It matches the Rfam family "Bacterial small subunit ribosomal RNA", at positions 113 to 1253 of the family's 1533-position model. The record is from RNAcentral.
ACACGUAAGAAACCUGCCCCUAAAUCCGGAAUAACAUUGCUAACGCGGUGCUAAUACCGGAUGUGGUCUCCAGUUUGCAUGAACAGGAGAUUAAAGGUGACCUCUACUUGUAAGUUAUCGUUUAGGGAUGGUCUUGCGGACCAUUAGCUUGUUGGCGGGGUAACGGCCCACCAAGGCUGCGAUGGUUAGCCGGCUUAAGAGGGUGAUCGGCCACAUUGGGACUGAGAUACGGCCCAGACUCCUACGGGAGGCAGCAGUAGGGAAUUUUGCGCAAUGGACGAAAGUCUGACGCAGCAACGCCGCGUGAGCGAUGAGGGUUUUCGGAUUGUAAAGCUCUGUUGAGUGGGAAGAAAACUCUCCGGGAUAAUACCCCGGAGACUUGACGGUACCACUCGAGGAAGCCCCGGCUAAAUACGUGCCAGCAGCCGCGGUAAUACGUAUGGGGCAAGCGUUGUUCGGAAUCACUGGGCGUAAAGGGAGUGUAGGCGGAAAGGUAAGUUAGAAGUGUAAUCCACGGGCUUAACCCGUGACUCGCUUUUAAUACUGCUUUUCUUGAGUAUGGGAGAGGGAGAUGGAAUUCCAGGUGUAGCGGUGGAAUGCGUAGAUAUCUGGAAGAACACCAGUAGCGAAGGCGGUCUCCUGGCCCAAUACUGACGCUGAGGCUCGAAAGCGUGGGGAGCGAUCAGGAUUAGAUACCCUGGUAGUCCACGCCGUAAACGAUGGACACUAGAUGUUGGCCUCUUCGGGGGUCGGUGUCGUAGCUAACGCGUUAAGUGUCCCGCCUGGGAAGUACGCUCGCAAGAGUGAAACUCAAAGGAAUUGACGGGGGCCCGCACAAGCGGUGGAGCAUGUGCUUUAAUUCGAUGCAACGCGAAGAACCUUACCUGGACUUGACAUGGGGGUGAAAGUUUUCAGAGAUGAAAACCCUUCCUUCGGGAACGCCCUACACAGGUGCUGCAUGGUUGUCGUCAGCUCGUGUCGUGAGAUGUUGGGUUAAGUCCCGCAACGAGCGCAACCCUUGUCCUUAGUUGCCAGCGGGUCAUGCCGGGAACUCUAGGGAGACUGCCUGGUACAACCAGGAGGAAGGUGGGGAUGACGUCAAAUCAUCAUGGCCCUUACGUCCAGGGCUAGACACGUGCUACAAUGGCCGGUACAGAGGGCUGCAAG